RNAcentral lists this ribosomal RNA (253 nucleotides) under uncultured bacterium. Its description in RNAcentral is "partial 16S ribosomal RNA". It matches the Rfam family "Bacterial small subunit ribosomal RNA", at positions 524 to 776 of the family's 1533-position model. The record is from RNAcentral.
UACAGAGGGGGCAAGCGUUGUUCGGAAUUACUGGGCGUAAAGGGCUCGUAGGCGGCCAACUAAGUCGGACGUGAAAUCCCUCAGCUUAACUGGGGAACUGCGUCUGAUACUGGAUGGCUUGGAUUUGGGAGAGGGAUGCGGAAUUCCAGGUGUAGCGGUGAAAUGCGUAGAUAUCUGGAGGAACACCGGUGGCGAAGGCGGCAUCCUGGACCAACAUUGACGCUGAGGAGCGAAAGCCAGGGGAGCAAACGGG